Molecule: ribosomal RNA, 253 nt
Filed under: uncultured bacterium
Lineage: Bacteria
Description: partial 16S ribosomal RNA
Rfam family: Bacterial small subunit ribosomal RNA
Source: RNAcentral
UACAGAGGUCUCAAGCGUUGUUCGGAUUCAUUGGGCGUAAAGGGUGCGUAGGCGGCGCGGUAAGUCGGGUGUGAAAUCUUGGAGCUUAACUCCGAAACUGCAUUCGAUACUGCCGUGCUUGAGGACUGGAGAGGAGACUGGAAUUUACGGUGUAGCGGUGAAAUGCGUAGAUAUCGUAAGGAAGACCAGUGGCGAAGGCGGGUCUCUGGACAGUAAUUGACGCUGAGGAGCGAAAGCGUGGGGAGCGAACAGG